UAAACCUCGUACCUUUUGCAUCAUGACCUAGCCAGAACAUUUCAAGCAAAGAGAACUUUAGUUUGAUACCCCGAAACUAAGUGAGCUACUCCAAGACAGCCUAAUAAUAGGGCCAACCCGUCUCUGUGGCAAAAGAGUGGGAAGAGCUUUGAGUAGGGGUGACAGACCUAUCGAACUUAGUUAUAGCUGGUUGCCUGAGAACUGGAUAGAAGUUCAGCUUCGUAACUCCUCCAUGAAUUACGAGAGUUAGUCAAAGGGGGUACAGCCCCUUUGAAUAUAGACACAACUUUUUCAGAAGGAUAAAGCUUAAAAUAGACCAAGGAAAAAUGUUCUGGUGGGCCUAAGAGCAGCCAUCCAAUAGAAAGCGUUAAAGCUCGAACAUUAUUCCUAUAAACCAGCCUUAAUCCCCUACUUUUACCAGGCCGUCCCAUGCAAACAUGGGAACGAUAAUGCUAGAAUGAGUAAUAAGAGAGCCCUCUCUCCACGCACACGUGUAAAUCGGAGCGGACCAACCACCGAACCUUAACGGCCCUAAACAAAGAGGGAACUGAGAAACAACCAGACAACCCCCCCCCGUUAACCCUACACUGGUGUGCCCUUAAGGAAAGACUAAAAGAAAAAGAAGGAACUCGGCAAACAAGCCUCGCCUGUUUACCAAAAACAUCGCCUCUUG
This 673-nucleotide ribosomal RNA is filed under the name Nematistius pectoralis (roosterfish). RNAcentral's name for it is "partial 16S ribosomal RNA". It matches the Rfam family "Bacterial large subunit ribosomal RNA", at positions 593 to 1757 of the family's 2925-position model. The record is from RNAcentral. Lineage: Eukaryota; Metazoa; Chordata; Actinopteri; Carangiformes; Nematistiidae.